GUACUCACUGAGGCAACAAAGGUACUAAAAUUGGAAUGAUACAGAGAUGGGUAGCAUGGCCCCUGAGUAAGGACUACAGGCGUAUUUAUGAAAUAUUCUAUAUUAAA
Molecule: small nuclear RNA, 107 nt
Filed under: Bison bison bison
Lineage: Eukaryota; Metazoa; Chordata; Mammalia; Artiodactyla; Bovidae
Source: RNAcentral